GACGAACGCUGGCGGCGUGCUUAACACAUGCAAGUCGAACGGAAAGGCCCUGCUUUUGUGGGGUGCUCGAGUGGCGAACGGGUGAGUAACACGUGAGUAACCUGCCCUUGACUUUGGGAUAACUUCAGGAAACUGGGGCUAAUACCGGAUAGGAGCUCCUGCUGCAUGGUGGGGGUUGGAAAGUUUCGGCGGUUGGGGAUGGACUCGCGGCUUAUCAGCUUGUUGGUGGGUAGUGGCUUACCAAGGCUUUGACGGGUAGCCGGCCUGAGAGGGUGACCGGCCACAUUGGGACUGAGAUACGGCCCAGACUCCUACGGGAGGCAGAAGGGGGGAAUAUUGCACAAUGGGCGGAAGCCUGAUGCAGCAACGCCGCGUGCGGGAUGACGGCCUUCGGGUUGUAAACCGCUUUCGCCUGUGACGAAGCGUGAGUGACGGUAAUGGGUAAAGAAGCACCGGCUAACUACGUG
This 467-nucleotide ribosomal RNA is filed under the name uncultured bacterium. RNAcentral describes it as "partial 16S ribosomal RNA". It matches the Rfam family "Bacterial small subunit ribosomal RNA", at positions 28 to 507 of the family's 1533-position model. The record is from RNAcentral.